RNAcentral lists this long non-coding RNA (1036 nucleotides) under Cottoperca gobio. RNAcentral describes it as "lncRNA (ENSCGOG00000014229.1)". The record is from RNAcentral. Lineage: Eukaryota; Metazoa; Chordata; Actinopteri; Perciformes; Bovichtidae.
CAUUAUACAACAUUCAAUCUACUCUGUAUACGAGCACUACAGUCUCAGACCCAAACAGAAUACAUAUGGCUGACAACACCAGCAGCCCCGACUGUAGAGCUGGCUAGGCACUUGUAGUCACCGGUCUCUCCAGUGCACCUCGGAUUGGAGAGCUGGAACAGGUGCACACCAAUCACAUCCGGUCUUCGCCAAGGUGGGAGGAGAGGACCUGCGUGCAGCCAAUCAGGGGCCAGGGAUCACACAUCCCAAUCUGCAUACCUAAUAGGGAACACAGGGUGCAGACAUCCACAUAAUAACCCCCACAGAUACCUAAGGCAGAUGGCAUUGGCCUUGGCCGUAGCAGGGACUCACAGUGACGAUUGUGUUUUAACUUACUUUGUACAACGGGAACAAAGGGAAGUAAAGUAUUGACCAGAGAAGUCGAAAGCCCAAGGUCAAGUAUGGAGCGAAGGGUUGUAAACACUUAAAAACCUGGCAAGACUACAAGAAUGGAUCGCUACUCGCCUCGCCUCUCGUCUCACCUGCCUAUCUGCCUUUCCAUUCCCAUGACAUUCCCUGCCAUCCACCCUCACCGUCCCAUCUGCUUUUGAGUUUCACUUCAUUAAACUGUUCAAACGUACUCUGUCCCCCGAGUCUGUGUUCUACCUCAAGUAAAUACGCAGCCCCAGACUCCAUGCUGUCUGAGCUGCGAUUUGAUUCACUUCCUUUAAAAAACACAAUUGAAAUAGUGACUAUAAACAUGGGAGUUAAGCCUCACGUGUCCUUGUCUACUGUGUCAUCUGGAUGGCCUGUACUUAUCUGAUAAAACAGGAGGUAACUGUAGCAAAAUGACUGGUUCCUCUCAUCUCCCGCAGUCACCUUCAGGCAAGACACUGUGUGUGUGUGUGUGUAUGUGUGUGUGUGUGUGUGUGUGUGUGUGUGUGUGUGUGUGUGUGUGUGUGUGUGUCCAGGACACUAAUAAGCACUACUGCGUCCAUGUAUGUCCUUGUCCUAGUUUAGCAGAAAGACACAGAAAGAGGGAGUGAGUUACACAGGA